GUAGGUGGCAAGCGUUGUCCGGAAUUAUUGGGCGUAAAGCGCGCGCAGGCGGUUCUUUAAGUCUGAUGUGAAAGCCCACGGCUCAACCGUGGAGGGUCAUUGGAAACUGGAGAACUUGAGUACAGAAGAGGGAAGCGGAAUUCCACGUGUAGCGGUGAAAUGCGUAGAGAUGUGGAGGAACACCAGUGGCGAAGGCGGCUUUCUGGUCUGUAACUGACGCUGAGGCGCGAAAGCGUGGGGAGCAAACAGGAUUAGAUACCCUGGUAGUCCACGCCGUAAACGAUGAGUGCUAAGUGUUAGGGGGGUUUCCGCCCCCCUUAGUGCUGCAGCUAACGCAUUAAGCACUCCGCCUGGGAGUACGGCCGCAAGGCUG
RNAcentral lists this ribosomal RNA (373 nucleotides) under uncultured organism. RNAcentral's name for it is "partial 16S ribosomal RNA". It matches the Rfam family "Bacterial small subunit ribosomal RNA", at positions 527 to 896 of the family's 1533-position model. The record is from RNAcentral.